RNAcentral lists this ribosomal RNA (433 nucleotides) under uncultured bacterium. Its description in RNAcentral is "partial 16S ribosomal RNA". It matches the Rfam family "Bacterial small subunit ribosomal RNA", at positions 29 to 507 of the family's 1533-position model. The record is from RNAcentral.
AACGAACGCUGGCGGCAUGCCUAACACAUGCAAGUCGAACGAGACCUUCGGGUCUAGUGGCGCACGGGUGCGUAACGCGUGGGAACCUGCCCUUAGGCUCGGAAUAACUCCCCGAAAGGGGUGCUAAUACCGGAUAAUGUCUUCGGACCAAAGAUUUAUCGCCUUUGGAUGGGCCCGCGUUGUAUUAGCUAGUUGGUAGGGUAAAAGCCUACCAAGGCGACGAUCCAUAGCUGGUCUGAGAGGAUGAUCAGCCACACUGGGACUGAGACACGGCCCAGACUCCUACGGGAGGCAGCAGUGGGGAAUAUUGGACAAUGGGCGAAAGCCUGAUCCAGCAAUGCCGCGUGAGUGAUGAAGGCCUUAGGGUUGUAAAGCUCUUUUACCCGGGAUGAUAAUGACAGUACCGGGAGAAUAAGCUCCGGCUAACUCCGUG